RNAcentral lists this ribosomal RNA (494 nucleotides) under uncultured bacterium. RNAcentral's name for it is "partial 16S ribosomal RNA". It matches the Rfam family "Bacterial small subunit ribosomal RNA", at positions 28 to 507 of the family's 1533-position model. The record is from RNAcentral.
GACGAACGCUGGCGGCGUGCUUAACACAUGCAAGUCGAACGGUGAAGCGCCUUCCUUUUUGGUGGGUGUGGAUGAGUGGCGAACGGGUGAGUAACACGUGAGUAACCUGCCCCCUUCUUCUGGAUAACCGCAUGAAAGUGUGGCUAAUACGGGAUAUUCUGGGUCUGUCGCAUGAUGGGUCUGGGAAAGAUAUUGUUUCGGUGGGGGAUGGGCUCGCGGCCUAUCAGCUUGUUGGUGGGGUGAUGGCCUACCAAGGCGGUGACGGGUAGCCGGCCUGAGAGGGUGGACGGUCACACUGGGACUGAGACACGGCCCAGACUCCUACGGGAGGCAGCAGUGGGGAAUAUUGCACAAUGGGCGCAAGCCUGAUGCAGCGACGCCGCGUGAGGGAUGGAGGCCUGCGGGUUGUGAACCUCUUUCGCCAGUGAAGCAGGCCUGCCUCGUUUGUGGGUGGGUUGACGGUAGCUGGAGAAGAAGCGCCGGCUAACUACGUG